This 742-nucleotide ribosomal RNA is filed under the name uncultured bacterium. Its description in RNAcentral is "bacterial SSU rRNA". It matches the Rfam family "Bacterial small subunit ribosomal RNA", at positions 56 to 800 of the family's 1533-position model. The record is from RNAcentral.
UGCAGUCGAGGGGUAUAGUUCUUCGGAACUAGAGACCGGCGCACGGGUGCGUAACGCGUAUGCAAUCUACCUUUUACAGAGGGAUAGCCCAGAGAAAUUUGGAUUAAUACCUCAUAGUAUAUAGCCCUGGCAUCAGGAUUAUAUUAAAGUCACAACGGUAAAAGAUGAGCAUGCGUCCCAUUAGCUAGUUGGUAAGGUAACGGCUUACCAAGGCUACGAUGGGUAGGGGUCCUGAGAGGGAGAUCCCCCACACUGGUACUGAGACACGGACCAGACUCCUACGGGAGGCAGCAGUGAGGAAUAUUGGACAAUGGGCGCAAGCCUGAUCCAGCCAUGCCGCGUGCAGGAUGACGGUCCUAUGGAUUGUAAACUGCUUUUAUACGAGAAGAAACACUCCUUCGUGAAGGAGCUUGACGGUAUCGUAAGAAUAAGGAUCGGCUAACUCCGUGCCAGCAGCCGCGGUAAUACGGAGGAUCCAAGCGUUAUCCGGAAUCAUUGGGUUUAAAGGGUCCGUAGGCGGUUUAAUAAGUCAGUGGUGAAAGCCCAUCGCUCAACGGUGGAACGGCCAUUGAUACUGUUAGACUUGAAUUAUUAGGAAGUAACUAGAAUAUGUAGUGUAGCGGUGAAAUGCUUAGAGAUUACAUGGAAUACCAAUUGCGAAGGCAGGUUACUACUAAUUGAUUGACGCUGAUGGACGAAAGCGUGGGUAGCGAACAGGAUUAGAUACCCUGGUAGUCCACGC